GGCCACCAUCCUCCGCAUGAAGGGCUGGAUGUCCUUCUGCACGCACUUGAAGUAGGAGCAGUGGGGCAGAUACCUCUCCUCCACGGUGGAGCAGUGGGCGUGUCAGUAAAAUGAAAGCUGCAUUGCGGGAGGGAAGGUGGACAGCUCUGGACUGCAAGGUAAAAGGCUGCGGUCCCAGAAGGGAAGGAUGCAUUGAGGAAGUGAACUGGCAACUCUGAGGCUGGUGCCACUGAGAAGGCUUUGGAUUCCUUGACCAUGGCAUGCACUUCAGGAAGAGAGGACUCCUGGGAAGGGACAGCAUCCACUUCACGAGGAAAGCCAAAGUGUAACCAACAGGUGAAACUACAUGUUUUCGCUGGCAGUCCUCCAGGUGCCAUUUGGGAAAGCAGCUAUGAAUAAACACUGCUGCAGACUCCUUAUUUGUGUGCGGGAGCCUUGGUCAUGGAGCCUGAGAUGUUGGAUCCAGGAUGGUUUCCUGGACACUUGCAGAUUGCUGGAGACAUAUGCGUCGACAGCACUGGAAACACGAGGACCAAAUGGGACCCUCAAUGUGAGGCAUUAGAAUGGUUAGUGACUGCUUGCACCCACUGUACUGCUGCACUUGAAUAAGCCGCCUAGGCUGAAGAAUGCCCUGUGAAGGUCCAAGGAUGAGGUCUGUGGAUGGCCAGCUACUCUUUGAGGGAGGCCGCACACACCACUAUAGAGCUGAGAGAGUUACAGCACCAGAUAGGGAGUUUAUGCACAGGAUCAAAGACCGCUUGGGAUCCAGCUGAGUGGUGUCAGCACUGCCUCCUGUGGAGAGACCAUUGCCCUCCCAGGUAGGCUGCUGUCCAACUCCACCCACCUCACAACCCCGGCAUGGAGAGCCCCGCUCCAGGGAUUUCUCCCUGGGCUCCAAAACGUCCACCCCACCCUCCAGCGGGGGCUAAAAACCCCCAGAAUGAAUUCUCUCUUCUCCCUUUCCUCCCUCCCAUUCUGAAAACAGCAGCAGACUGGAAGGCAGAAGUUACAGAAGACACUCUGUUUUGAAACAUCUUUAUCUGACUCCUCAUGCAAUGAGGGUUCAGAUUUUUACCUGAUAGGCCAUAUUUUAAGUGGUCUGCAGCUGUGCAUUUGUGUUUGGUCAUGGCUAUAGACCGCUUUCUGUGGCCAGAUCGGGUGAAAAUUGUCAUUCUGUCUGUGCCCCAAGGGCACUUUUACACAUUUAAGCUCCGCAGUGCUUGGCGCUUUGAAAAGUUGUAUAAGCAGCAAAAUGCGCUUCAGUGCUGAGAAAAUGACAGCAGCAUGCUUUUGAACUAAAACACAUUUGGGGCGCUUUAGUUCAAAAGCACACCACCACCAUUUUCUGCACGCUGACACACAUUUUGCUGCUUAUACAACUGCACAUGACACAGGGCAGUUUGCAUCAGUCUGCUCCAAAGCGGUGGAUCUCCAGCAUGUCAUGUCACAAAAAGGUCUGUGUAUAAAUGCUCAAUGUGACUUGGCCAAAAUGAAACAGAAGUCCUUGAGUACUUGGGACUGAACCCAGGCUUCGUAAGUCACGAUUCAAUGCCUUCACCACAGAAGCAUUUGUCUUUUCAGAGCAGCUUCCCUUGUAUCUCUGAGCUUUUAUAGCUUUUACCAUAAUAUUAGCACUAACAGAAAAAGAAGGGAUUUUUUUUCUUUUUCAGAAGGGUAGUUGUGAGGGAGUGGGAAACCCUGAAUGUGGGUAGAUGAAGUAGAGAAAUGAGAACAUAUAUCUAGAGGUUUAGCAAAGGAUGUAUUUUUAACUGUUUACUUUCAGUUUUGCUUAGUAAUUUUAACCUUGCCUGGAAUGCACUUAGAUUGCAAGCAAUGAGUAUAUCUGCAUUUUUAUUUUCGGUUUGAAUUUUCAAGUGUUGCAGUCUGUAACCAUGUGUUUUCAAGUCACUUUCAGAAUCUAUUUUUAUGGCCUCAUCAAGAACAAGUUACUAAUUUCUAACUAGUUCUCCUUUUCUUAACGGAUGCAAGAAUAAGAUUGCUAUGGUGCACAUGCAUCACUAAUGGUUAAUGUCUAAAUUCCUAGAAGAGGGGAAGUCACACAAUAGUUCUGAAGUUGGCAAGAUAUACAGUGCAUCAUAAUAUGUUUAGCAUACAAAGAUGAAAAGAGAAAAAAAUAUGUAGAAGAGGAAGGAAUUAGUAUGUUUUAUGAGACUGAGAAUUUAUGGCAUUUUUAGAGCCAAGUGACAGAGAUAUUAACCCGACUCUUUCCUAGUGGUAGAUCCAGGUGAAUAUCUCAUCUCAUACCAGUUGUCAGUUACAUUAUGGAACAACAGUAACACAAUGAGCAUAUGGGUCUGCUGAUUGUAGUGAUCCUUUAGCACAGACCAAGAGUGGGCUUCAGAAGCCAAAAGAGAUCAGUUGAAAUAGUGCAAGGAAGUGUUUUGGAAUUUCUACUAGGUUUUACUAUGAAAUUCUGUAAAGCCUCACUCUCAACUGUCCUCCUUAUAUGGUGAGUCCCAUUAAAAUAUGUACCAGGUUUUAGCCAAAGACAAAGUUAUCGUGCCACAAUGUUUGGAUAUGGUCUUCCUCUUCUUGUUCAGUUCUUUUAAAGUACAGUUACUGCAGAUAUCUUAGAAUCUAUUUGUUAGCUACUUAAACCAUGCUAAAGGAAUGUAUAGAAAAAUGUCUAAUGCAUUUGAGACUUUAAUUCUUAUACAUCAUUUGUGAUAGAAAGCAUUCUCUAUAACAUCAAACUUUUUUAGUCAAAUGUUCAUCUAUGUUCAUUGGGAGCCCAUCCAAAUUUCCAGUUUCUACUUACAUCACCUCCAGGAAUCCCCUGAGGUGGCAUGUGCUAUUACUCUGCCUCCUCUCAGAGUAUGACACUGUAGCAAGAUUCACAAGUACUCUCUGGAGCGUCUACCUGAAGAAUUCUUGUCUGGUCCAUCAUGGUGUUCUUCUAACCCCUGUAAGUCCCUGCACCAGUCAUUUGGGAUUGUCCUGCUACAUGUGAUGAGAGUGGGAAUGUGCAGUUAAUUCAACGCUUCUGUAUUUCAAUAUGGGCUCGAUAGGUUCAGUUCCUGAUUUGGAUUCGUUCUUAUUCUCUCUGUACUAACACUCAGAUUCCAGUUUCCCAUCUUUUGUGUGGCCACCUGAUUGUUUUCUCUGUCUGGUUUGUAGCUGUUUCUUUAUACCUCUUCUGGAGGAAACAGCUGCCCCUUGUCUUUUCCUUGAUCAGAAUGCUUGUACUUGAUAUGUAUUUGCUCAGCACUGUGGGCAAAAUAUUUGAUACACUGAGCUGGUACCCUGUCAGAGGAAAAGCUCUCAUCAGCUUUGACUGGAGUAGGAUUAAGAUCGCUGUCCUUUUUUCUUCCUUAUGCUGCUCGAAAAUAGCUAUAUAUCCUAGUUUAGGGAUUCUCAACCAGGGUGUUGUGGCACUGUGGGGUGCCAUGAGAUUCUUUCAAGAGUGCCACCAUGUGCCAGUCAAUAUUAGUACUGUUAGGUGUGCAAAUACCUACACAUUAUUCACAAAAUAAACCCAGAGAUUUCAAGUAGUAAUCUGUAGUGCCCAAAAUAUUCUGACCUGUUGUGGUCUUCCUGAGUUCUUUGCAACAGAAGAAUUGCUCUAAUAUUUUUCUGUAAUCAAAACAUGAGUGAAAGCUAAGAGCUGGCAUUUUCUGAGGGGUGCCUCGAGUCUAACAAGAGGUGCUUUGAGCCUAGAAAGGUUGAGAAUCGCUGUCCUAGCUGAACUCAGUAUUCUCAAUAGAGAAAAAGAAAACAAAGCUGAAAUGAGUGUCUUUGUAAGAACGUGGAAUAAGGAGGGAAUAACUACAGGAAGAGUUGCUUGCUUUAUUUUUCCUUGAUGGAACUGAAAACCUUGGAAGCAGGUGUGAAAGCAACGUGGACUUCAAUAACUGGAAAGUAAUUUUAGUUUUCUUAUAUGAGUGGCCAAAUGCUUUGCUUUUCCAAGGGCAAUUUCUAGCCACUAGGGCAUUGAAAAUCCGACAGUUAUAAUUCACCAUGUACAUGCCAGAACUUCUGGGAAGGCUAAAAAAAUAAUAUAAAAUUCUACAGUGCUACAUAAGAAACCAAGGGAAUGCCAUCAAAUUCUGCAUGGCCUCCUUCUCUAAUAGCCAGGCCUUUGAGAAAGGUGGAGGGAGAGACCAGUCCCUACUCAGCAGUUUUGGGAAAUGGAGAAUGGUUAAAUCAUGGGCUUUACCUUGUCAGUAAAAAUGUAAAAAUGUCAAACUAAAAAAAAAAAAGUGUUUCCAUAUUGGGUGACAUGUUUCUUUUUCAGUUAUAAUUGCCACAGCAGUAUAAGCAUGCAGCACAAGGUUUAGAUUAGUCAAGCACAUUUUUGUGUAUUAUAGUAAAAGAUUCCCUGACCUGCCAACCCACCCCAAAUCCAGGUUUUGUUGGGGAGGGGUUUGGGGGGGUAAGGGGGUGAGGCAUAGAUUUUAUAGUUAAAUUCCAUCUACUGUCUUUAGGGAAGCCUUAAAGUGUGGACCAAGGAGGUUGUUUUCCAUGUACUGUUCCCACUCGCUGUUUUGGGCUAACUUGUAGUAUCUUGUUCUGCUGUAUAGAAUUAGGUAUUUCAAUCGUACUAUGUGUGGACAAGGUAUAUCUCAGUAUAAACAAAGGCAGUACAAACUGACCUUAAAUUGUAAACACUUUCCUUGCUGCCACCGUGACAAUUCUUUCUUCUUGGGGCAAUUCUCUGUCAUCAAGCUGAGCCUGCCAUCCUUGCUCACUUUGAGUAACACUGCAAGUAGUUGCAUUUAAAGCAGAUAGUUGCAUUUAAAGUCUAGUUUUUGGCCCCACACUUCAAGAAGGAUGUGGAUAGAUUGAAAAGUGUCCAGCAGAAAGCAACAAAAAUAAUUUGAGGCCUGGGUGAGGAAAGGCUGAUAGAGAUAGAGUUAUUUAGUAUGGAGAAGGAAAGAUGGAGGAGAGAUUUGAUCACAGUCUUUAAAUACCUGAUAGGUGAUUAUAGAGAAGAUGGAGAUAGAUUUCUCUUUGUUGAUGUGGUGGACAGGGCUUGGAACAAUGGCCUCAAACUGCAGCAGAGAAAAUUUAGGUUGGUGAUAAGGAAGAACUUUCUGACUAUAAGGGUGGUUAACAUUGGAAAAAGCUGUGGUGGCAGGGCACUGACAGUGUCUGCCAUUUUAAGUUUAGUCAGUGAGCUGGAUAGGUGAGGCUAGCCCUCAUUAGAGCAGCCUACUACUUAAGAGGCAAGCACAUAGUGCCAAUAAAAAGCCUUAUGUUACUGUCAGGCAGGAAACUGGCUAAAGGAGCUGGGCUGGGUUAGGGCCCCAUCUCAGGUAGAGGGCUGCCGUCUAGCAGUUACAUCAGGGGAGUGGAAGGAGUUACAACACACAGCUUGAGGACUGUAGCUCCUGGAAUAACUGGAGGAAAGGGUAGGAACCCUUGGGGAUGGAGGAGGUUCCAGGAGACCCGAGAGGGUCCCUAGCCUGGCUGGGAUGGAGAGAGUGGGGCUGUGGACUAGGACUCCUGAGAGUACCCUGCAGGCAUGGAGAGAGUGGAGCCUUCCCAGCUGGCGCAAGGGGCCAUCAGAGGACUUAGAAUAGGUCUAUGGAGCUCAGAGGCCAGGGACACAAGUGGAACAGUGCCAGGCAAAAAGGGUACCAGGAGAGUGCUGAGGAUGAAGAACAUGAGGGUCUUGAGGUCCCAGAACCGGUGUAGGGGUAUAUGGCUCUGAGAGUGAGGUCCAGAGUGAGGGAGAGGGUAGAUGGUCAGGGGGGCAUUGCACCACCUCGACUGACCCAGGUUGGGCCCAGGCCCAGGGGGGAGCGGGUGCAAAAGGCAAAGGUGCUCACCGCAAGGGCCGGGUCAGUGCUGUAGAGGGCCUGGCACCCCAACUGGCUAGAGAGCAGGGCCAGGCCUAGACAGGCAAAGAUCCCUAGAGUAGGGGACCACCAGUGAGAGGUGGGAGCCAGAGUUAUCUUAACUCAUAUGAAGGGGGUGAGUAAAGCCACCUGAAAGUUUUGUUGCAAGGGACUGGGCUGAACAGGAGCCAUGUUAAGCCCGAAGGAGAACCAGGACCCUGAGAAGAGAAAAAUCUCCCAGAUGGGAAGAGGUGUGCCCCAAGGGAGAACUGGGGAGAGCUGAAGGACAGGGCAGGGUGGCCUGCCACUUCUCCUGGGUAAGACCUGAAACUGUACCCUACUGGUGCUGGUUAGUGCAGUGGGGCUGCCUGUGGCAGAGCAGUCUCCAGGAAAGGCCAUACAAGGGCCACUUCAGGGGAAGGUGAGGCUGGGAUGCUGGAAGGCCUCAGCCCCCACUGCCUUGUGGAUGACCCUAUGGAGGGAAAAGGAUAGGGGAGUACAAAAGGACAGAAAAGCACUAUGGGGCCAAAGCCCACUGAGCAGGGUCUGAGGGGCAAAAGGCUCAGGGAGAGGCCAAGGCCCACUGUGUGGGGCCUGAGGCCUAAGGAGGAGUGUAUAAGCCUAGUGAUGGUCCAGGGCCAUGGUCCGGCAAGGGGCCUGUUGCCCAAGGAGAGUAUACACCCAGUGAGGCCUAAAGUGUGUGUGUGUAUGGCUCAGUGAGGGGCCAGAGUAUGAGUAUGGCCUGAGUGGGCCAGAGGCUGAAUUCGGCCCAGUAAGGGGCUGGGGGAGUAGUACAUAGAACAGGAUGCCAUCUGCAAGGCGUGGGGCACAGUGUAGGGAUGGUUUGGAGCUGUGCAUUUGUCCCAAGGCACCAGAGCCACAAAUGGGGCAGCCUCCUGCAUUUCAUAUAUUCAUUUUACAUCAAAGGCAUGGUGGGUGAGAUAAGGGUAGACCCCCUCCCCCCCCAACCAAACAGGGGUGGGGGGGCAUCAAUCUCUUCUGGUGCCUGGGGACACCCCCUGCUCCUCAUUACAGCUACCUAGAGAAGUUGUAGAAUCUGUAUUCCUGGAAAUGUGAAGGGCAGAUUAGACAGACAUUUGGCUGGAAUGGUUUAGUCAGAUGUUCCUUUCUUGAGCAGGGGAUGGACUAGAUGACCUCAUGAGGUCCCGUCUAACCCUACUUUCUUAUGAUCCCACAAUCCUAAAGCAGUAUGGCUAUUUCCAAAGGGCCAGAUUCUGAUAUCCUCAGUCUUGGCACAUCCUCUAUGUGAGAUAUCCUCUAUAUGAGAUGCUUACUGCAUGAUAGCCUAAUAACAACUGUGCAGUAGCCAGUCAAAAACCAUGCUAGCAUGCUACUGAGUGGUGUUAUUAGGCUACAGCAUAGUAAGCAUCACAAAAAAACUGUGCCAGCCCUACUGCGCAGUCGCAUGAGUUACUGUGCAUUUAGUUAGUACUUCAUUAAGCAUGUACAAAACUAAAUGCACAGUAACUACUGCACAUUAAUGAACGUGUAGAUGCACUCAUUGAGGUGUACAUUACUCCUUAAACAGCCUUCUUGAUCUAAUUAACUUCUAAAGGGGACUACUUUUAGAAUAAGGUACAAUGUAAAGUGUUGAAGGGUAUUAGCAUCUUGCCUCUAGUGAAGAGAAACAGAAGGGCAGUAGAAUUUGGUCUGUAGGGAGUGGGUAGAAGGGGGCUUCUGGGGAUAGGUGGGAUAGAAUUAAGGAGCUUCAAGCUUUACUAAACAGUUUUGAUAUGUCUGUGCAGAUACUGCCAGCUUGUGUUAUGGUAAAUGAUGCCAUUUGCUGAGUUCCAAUUAUUUCAGUGGAAUUAUACAUGGAAGGCUAGAUCAUGGCAUUAGGUAGGAGAGGAGGAGCACAUGGUGGUUCUACUAUGGAUCAGGUGGGUCUGGGGAGGGAGUAAACUAGAAUGUAUCUUAUAACUAAUGCAACAUGUACACACAAAACUAGCAAUUUUGGCAACUUGGGCAGAGAUGCUGUUGGGUGCCAGAGAACAAGGAGCACAGAAGAACUUGCUGCUGAAGUUAAGAUGCAUUCAGAAGGGAAGAUAGGGCUCCAUCUAUUUCUAUCUUUUUUUGCCCCUUCUUGCCAACCAUUGUAAAGGAGUGGAUAUGCAGUUGGGAAGCAACAAUCCUUACUCCAUCAAAUUAAUUUUCAGGGCAGACCAUAUUAUGGCCAAGAUGCAUGAAUGAGAAUGAAUAAAGGCAGGAAAACUGGUGGUCAGUGGGCAGAACUCUUGUUCUGUACACUGGUAUUUUCAGUGCUGUGUGUGACCCAUGGCAUGAGCUAGAAACGUGUCAUCACAAGACACCUGCAAAGCACUUGAUAAUAAACACAGGGGCCAGUUGAAACGAAAAAAACCCAUGCAAAGUGAGUUGAUGCUCAGUGCUGAACCAGUGUGUUUGCUGCUGAGUGGCUAUUGAAAAGCAGAGAAUUUGGUUUCCCCCAAUGCACCCUUCUCUGUAGGUUUCAGAUCUGUUAUGAUGUUAUGGCUGGUGGCUUAGAGCCCAUUCCUUGACAACCACCAGCAGUGGCACUUCUGGCUGCGUUUCUGUUAGCUUUUGCUGGUCACUGGUGAACCUGAGAAACCAUUCUGCAGAACCUGAGCGUGGGGAAAACCCCAUGUUAAUUACUGGCCUGCCCUUUUGGCUUGCUUGUCAUGCAAUUUAUGGUAACUAGCACUGUCCUUGUAACUCUAAGGUAACAAGUGGAAACCCUUUUUUCCCCCUUAAUUGUUCAACUGGUUUUACAGUUACCAGGCUGUAAAGCACCUCAUCAUCCUUGUUAAUUCUUUCUUCUUUUUGAGCUGCCAGUUAGUAAUCAAUUAUUACCCUUGUCAUUCAUGCUGCAGCACAGCAGCUGGUCACAGGAAGCCUCUGUUUCAUUGGGCUGUAGCCAAUCGGCUUUCUCCAGCUGUCCCUUGCUGUUCUGAAUCAUAAUGUGUACAGUACUUGUUGCUUUAGAAGUUGUUUUUUUAACAGAGUCUUUAAAAAAAAAAAUCUUCCUUCCCCUUUUCUACUAUUACAGCACAUCUGGCUGAUAGAGGUUAAAGCAAACUCCUUAAUGCUGCAUUUUUACUGCAGAGGCACUUUACGUUAGCACAACGGAUAUUUUUCUCAUAGUCUCUGUUUUAUGAGACGACUUACUUGAUAUAAAGACUGCUGACAGAUCAAAGGUUUCACUAGUAAAAUGAUAUGAAAGGCAGAGACAUUAGCAUCCAUCAAGGUCCUGUUAGGAUGUGCAAAAUAGGGGGUCCUGGGCCUCCCAAGCGAAACCUAGCAGGAAGGUCUGAGAGCCUGCAUAUCCAAUGAAAGGAAAACAAGAGAGGGCACACAGAAUAUUCGAGGAGGUAGUGACCCACAAAAAACUAGCAGCUCGGGUGGCAAUGCACCCUGAUUAAAUGGCCAGAGGAUAAAAUGCUCUCAUGAGCAACCCUCUGGUUAUUUAACGAUGUGCAUUUCAGAAUCACGCUUUGCAUGAUCAGCUACAACUUUGGAGAGUUACGUGUCAAUAUUUUAGCACAAAGCAAUAGACUUUCCCAUUAAUAUUUAUUCAAAGGCAAUGGCUUGGAAAAAAGUGCUUUAUUUGAAACUGCUGGGACAUGAAACCUGAUUGAAAUAUAAAAUUGAGACCUGCAUGAUGUUUGAUAAUUGGGGCUACCUUUUAUAACCUAUAUAUAUAAAAUGAAGUGUAUGUCUGUAUGUAUGUCUGUAAGUUCGCUUAUAACUCAAAAAUGGCUGGUCCUAUCUACUCUAAACCUUCCAAAAUCACUGAAUACCACCUGAAGAAAAUUAUAGGUGGGUUAUUUUUCACUUGACCCUUUUCAGAGCUUCCAGUGACUGAGAUUACUUCAUUUCUCAGAUAACAAAUUGGUACCACUGUACUGAAUGCAGUGAAUUCAGUUCAAUUGUCAUUAUUAUAUGGGCGCUUGCUCCUUUUUUUUUGCUCCAUAUUAAAUAUUAAAUGUUAAAUGUGCUGUACUAUGUUCUUUAAUAAUAAACAAUAUUUUUGACCUAAA
Molecule: long non-coding RNA, 9838 nt
Organism: Alligator mississippiensis (American alligator)
Lineage: Eukaryota; Metazoa; Chordata; Crocodylia; Alligatoridae
Exons: 5
Source: RefSeq, a predicted model, not a curated record